CAGCAGCCACGGGAAUACGGAGGGGGCUAGCGUUGUUCGGAAUUACUGGGCGUAAAGCGCACGUAGGCGGCUUGGUAAGUUAGAGGUGAAAGCCCGGAGCUCAACUCCGGAAUUGCCUUUAAGACUGCCGAGCUAGUAGGUGAGAGAGGUAAGUGGAAUUCCGAGUGUAGAGGUGAAAUUCGUAGAUAUUCGGAAGAACACCAGUGGCGAAGGCGGCUCACUGGCUCGGUAUUGACGCUGAGGUGCGAAAGCGUGGGGAGCAAACAGGACUAGAUACCCCCGUAGUCCAUGUCUCUUAUAC
RNAcentral lists this ribosomal RNA (301 nucleotides) under uncultured bacterium. Its description in RNAcentral is "partial 16S ribosomal RNA". It matches the Rfam family "Bacterial small subunit ribosomal RNA", at positions 509 to 807 of the family's 1533-position model. The record is from RNAcentral.